AAGUCGUAACAAGGUUUCCGUAGGAUCAUCCUUCCCUAGCGAAGCCUUGGGUGUGCACGACUAUAAAUAAUGCCAACACGGUCCUUAAUUGUCAAGGGCGACGUCACAUAAAUGCUGGGAUCCUUGAAUAACAAGGGGAUCAGCAGCCAGAUUUUGUAUUUGGUCCACAGAUUAGACGGUGACGGUCAAGCAGUGAAGAGAUGUUGGUUGAAACUUGACAGAGUCGUCUCUGAAGAGUCAAUAAGUCGUGCACGUAUGUGUGUACGUUCUUACACCAAGCUUCUUGUUUGAUUAAGAUAUAACCGGUUUACCGUUAUGCAGCGGUGAGAGAAACGUUCCGUAGGUGAACCUGCGGAAGGAUCAUUAUCGAGUUAGGGUCCUUUGGGCCCCAUCUCCAACUCUUGUUUAUCUUAAAACGUUGCUUGACGGUGCCCCUGCUCGCAGGUGUUCCGCCGGGGAUUCUGUCCCUGGCUUGCGCUCGUCAACAGCCACUUUUAAAUUCUUUCAACCAUGUCGAAUCCACGAUAGAAUGAUUAAAACUUUCAACAACGGAUCUCUUGGUUCUGGCAUCGAUGAAGAACGCAGCGAAAUGCGAUAAGUAAUGCGAAUUGCAGAAUUCCGUGAGUCAUCGAAUCUUUGAACGCACAUUGCGCCCUUUGNAUUCCGAAGGGCAUGCCUGUUCGAGCGUCAUUAUCAACCCACAGCUCGGCUUGCANUUGGCUCCCGCCGUGGCGACUCCGGCGGACCCAAAAGAUAUACGCAGAGUCUGGAGUGACCCUGGAUGCAGCGAGCUUCCAAGCAUGCAUUCUCACGGUCUUCUCGGCCCAGUCUAUAACAAUUUAUUUCAACUGGUUGACCUCGGAUCAGGNAGGGAUNCCCNCUGAACUUAAGCAUUCAAUAAGCGGAGGAAUAGAAACCCACAGGGAUUGCCUCAGUAACGGCGAGUGAAGNGGCAACAGCUCAAAUUUGAAAUCUGGNUCCCCUUGGGGGUCCCGAGUUGUAAUUUGUAGAGGAUGCUUCGGGCAAGGCCGCGGUCUAAUUUGCUUGGAAACAGCGAGUCACAGAGGGUGAGAGUCCCGUCUGGACCCGUGCGCCGCGUCCAUGUGAAGCUCCUUCGCCGAGUCGAGUUGUUUGGGAAUGCAGCUCUAAAUGGGUGGUAAAUUUCAUCUAAAGCUAAAUAUUGGCCAGAGACCGAUAGCGGACAAGUAGAGUGAUCGAAAGAUGAAAAGCACUUUGAAAAGAGAGUUAAACAGUAUGUGAAAUUGUUGAAAGGAAAGCGCUUGCAAUCAGACUUGCGGGUGACGGCUCCCCCCCCCCCCUUCGGGUGGGGCUACUCCGUCACUUCCAGGCCAGCAUCGGUUUGGGUGGUCGGUCAAAGACUGCGGGAAUGUAUCUACCCUCCGGGGUCGACUUAUAGCCCGGGGUGCAAUGCGGCCCACCCGGACCGAGGAACGCGCUUCGGCUCGGAUGCUGGCGUAAUGGUUGUAAGCGGCC
Molecule: ribosomal RNA, 1494 nt
Filed under: uncultured fungus
Lineage: Eukaryota; Fungi
Description: eukaryotic LSU rRNA
Rfam family: Eukaryotic large subunit ribosomal RNA (bases 854-1494)
Source: RNAcentral